GAUGAACGCUGGCGGCGUGCCUAAUACAUGCAAGUCGAGCGAACAGACGAGGAGCUUGCUCCUCUGACGUUAGCGGCGGACGGGUGAGUAACCCGUGGAUAACCUACCUAUAAGACUGGGAUAACUACGGGAAACCGGAGCUAAUACCGGAUAAUAUAUUGAACCGCAUGGUUCAAUAGUGAAAGACGGUUUUGCUGUCACUUAUAGAUGGAUCCGCGCCGCAUUAGCUAGUUGGUAAGGUAACGGCUUACCAAGGCGACGAUGCGUAGCCGACCUGAGAGGGUGAUCGGCCACACUGGAACUGAGACACGGUCCAGACUCCUACGGGAGGCAGCAGUAGGGAAUCUUGCGCAAUGGGCGAAAGCCUGACGGAGCAACGCCGCGUGAGUGAUGAAGGUCUUCGGAUCGUAAAGCUCUGUUAUCAGGGAAGAACAAAUGUGUAAGUAACUAUGCACGUAUUGACGGUACCUAAUCAGAAAGCCACGGCUAACUACGUG
RNAcentral lists this ribosomal RNA (497 nucleotides) under uncultured bacterium. RNAcentral's name for it is "partial 16S ribosomal RNA". It matches the Rfam family "Bacterial small subunit ribosomal RNA", at positions 28 to 507 of the family's 1533-position model. The record is from RNAcentral.